Molecule: ribosomal RNA, 719 nt
Filed under: Actinomycetes bacterium
Lineage: Bacteria; Bacillati; Actinomycetota; Actinomycetes
Description: bacterial SSU rRNA
Rfam family: Bacterial small subunit ribosomal RNA
Source: RNAcentral
GGGAUUAGUGGCGAACGGGUGAGUAACACGUGGGCAAUCUGCCCUGCACUCUGGGACAAGCCCUGGAAACGGGGUCUAAUACCGGAUACUGACCCGCUUGGGCAUCCAAGCGGUUCGAAAGCUCCGGCGGUGCAGGAUGAGCCCGCGGCCUAUCAGCUUGUUGGUGAGGUAAUGGCUCACCAAGGCGACGACGGGUAGCCGGCCUGAGAGGGCGACCGGCCACACUGGGACUGAGACACGGCCCAGACUCCUACGGGAGGCAGCAGUGGGGAAUAUUGCACAAUGGGCGAAAGCCUGAUGCAGCGACGCCGCGUGAGGGAUGACGGCCUUCGGGUUGUAAACCUCUUUCAGCAGGGAAGAAGCGAAAGUGACGGUACCUGCAGAAGAAGCGCCGGCUAACUACGUGCCAGCAGCCGCGGUAAUACGUAGGGCGCGAGCGUUGUCCGGAAUUAUUGGGCGUAAAGAGCUCGUAGGCGGCUUGUCACGUCGGUUGUGAAAGCCCGGGGCUUAACCCCGGGUCUGCAGUCGAUACGGGCAGGCUAGAGUUCGGUAGGGGAGAUCGGAAUUCCUGGUGUAGCGGUGAAAUGCGCAGAUAUCAGGAGGAACACCGGUGGCGAAGGCGGAUCUCUGGGCCGAUACUGACGCUGAGGAGCGAAAGCGUGGGGAGCGAACAGGAUUAGAUACCCUGGUAGUCCACGCCGUAAACGGUGGGCACUAGG